Hypanus sabinus (Atlantic stingray) is the source of this 4020-nucleotide long non-coding RNA. RefSeq lists it as uncharacterized. The record is from RefSeq and is a predicted model, not a curated record. The transcript is spliced from 3 exons. Lineage: Eukaryota; Metazoa; Chordata; Chondrichthyes; Myliobatiformes; Dasyatidae.
CUCACCGCCAAACCUUUUUUAACAAUGCUGUCCAAGAAACCAAAAAAGUCCAAUCCUACCUUUCACACCACUUCCCGUCUCACCUCCGGAUUAACUGUGAGGAGCUGGGGAAGAACGCCUUGGUGCCCCAGUACACCUGAUAUUCCCUGGCCUGCUGAGUGUUUCUGGUACGAGAGAUUGUAAUGUUCUGAGUCAGAAGAAAGCUUACACCGAGCUCCGUUGGAACAGGUUCAGUACCGUGACACAGCACAUAGUGGUAGUGCCUCAGGGCUCCAGCAGCCCAAGUUGUAUAUGAUCUCUGAUUCUCUCUGUGCGAAGUUUGCUCCUCCUCCCCAUGAUGGAACUUAAAAAUAGAAACACUUUCCACUGCCGACCCCUCAAUGAGAACUGGUGCGCGUACCCUCGACUGCCGCUUCUUGAAGUCCACAAUCAAUUCCUUGGCUUUACUGACGUUGAAUGCAAUGUUGUUGCGGCAGCACUCAACCAGCUGAUCUAUCUCACUCCUGUACACCGCCUCGUCACCAUCUGAGAUACUGCCAACAGUUGUGUCAUCGGCAAAUUUAUAGAAGUAAACAGAACUGUUGAAUUAUGUGGGCUAUCUCUGGACUGUAAACUUGACUAAGUCCAUAAAUAGGCUCUGUGGUAGAUUUUUUUAUUUGCAUGGUUCUGCUGACAAGCUGCUCCCUGAAUCUUGAUUACUUCCAGCUUCAUGAAAUCAACACAAUGGAAAUUAACAAAUUCUAUAAAGGAUAUUUCCAGCUUCAGCAAUUAUUGUCUGUGAGGACAAUUUGUAACUCAUUUUUGUCUUGAACAAGAGUCUAAGAGUUGAGCAGGACAAUUAUGCAGCAAGACUGAAGAGAAAAACUGAAAUUGUCAGUGUGCUUUCUGAAUCUUCCAGCAGUUCAUACAGAGUUAUAACCAAAUAGAACAGACAACUUCAAAACAGUACACAAGAAAUAAACAAUCAAUUUCUUUAAAAGUCUCUUCAGAAAGGAGCACAGAAGUAGUGCAAUGGUUAGCACAAUGCUAUUACAACUCAGGGUAUCAGAGCUCAGAGAUUAAUUCCAAAGCCACCUGUAUGGAGCUUGUAUAUUCUUCCUGUGACCACGAGGGUUCCUCCCACAGUCUUAAGCCUGAUUUAUACUUCCACGUCGCAGGUACACCGUAGGUAGCAAGUACCCUACGCCAUAGGGUGUUGUGCACCUCCCCAAAAAAGUAACUCACGUGUCGCAGCAACGCAGACCGCAACAACUGUGAUUGGUCCGCUUGGUAGCAUCGUAUUUUCUCCUACGCAUUUCUGGUUGCUUCUUCUCCGCCGUGCCUGUAGACCAAUGCGAAAUAGAUGAACCAAAUUGUCAAAUCUACCUGCCGACAUGCGAAAAUGUUUGAAAUGCAUUUCCUCCUCCAUGUCUCUCAUGAAGAAACUCAACACAGUGGCAUAGAAACCCCACCGCCAACUAGCGUUUUGGCACACACCAACGCAUGCGCACUAUGGCGUAGAACGACGCAGAAGUGAAAAUCAAUGGCCUAUGGCUACAGCGUAGCCCAUAUGCACAAGUAUAAAUCAGCCUUAAAGAUGUAUCAGUUGAUAGUUCAAUUGCUCAUUAUAAAUUGUCCUGUGAUUAGGCUGGUGUUAAGUAGCUGAGUUGCUCAGUGGUGGGGCUCUUUGGGCCAGAAGGGUCUGUUCCGCACUAUAACUCUAAAUUUAAAAAAAUUAAGUAAAAAUUGCGCUGUCAUUUUGGCAAUUCCAUUACCCAAACUCAUUGUCUCUACCACCAAGAAGGACACGAGCAAAUGAAAAUGCAUGCCCCCUCCAGCCCCACACCACCCAACUUGACAACACGCUUUAUUGUUGCUGGCUUUAAAUCCCCAAACUCCAACACCAUUACGAGAGAACCUUCGCCUGCAUUCCCAGAAGGUACUUAACCACUACCUCCUAAAGUUCACUUAAAGAUGAGUCAAUAAACAUUUGUCUUACCAGUAAAACCAAGAGCCUGAAAGAAAGAAUGAUUAGAAAUAUAUACUAUGCCCAUGAGAGAAAUUGCUCCUUACACUUUAUUAGUUAAAGAAAAAUUGACCACAACAGGAAGGGUAAAAAUGUGCUCAACAAUACAGCCCGGAUGACUUCAGUGAGUUUAUCCAGCAAGUAAUGAACCAUUCAGUUCAAGAAGGACUGAUCUACAUUCUAUGCUGUUAGUUGACGAUCCAGAUGGUGACAGAGGCAUUUGAAUUGGCCUCAAAAUAUUUGGGUUAGGAAAGAACAAAUUGGCAAGGAUUCUCACUCUGAUCACUGUCCAGCAAAGUGCGUGUGGCCAGAAAGAGGGAAAAUACGCAGCACUAACUUACCUUAAAAACGUCUACAAGGCCUGAGCUGUAAAAGUAAUGCAUGCACAAUAGCUAUAUAGGUUCCAGAUGUCUUUUGGUGACACAUUCUUGGACGGAAGGGGAGGUGGUUACUCCAAGACAAGAUGUUCAUUAAGCCUUGUGCAGACUUCUCUUUUAAAAAUAAAAUAACUAAGGUGGGUGGGGAUAAAAUAGAAAGAAUAGGUGCUAAUAGACAUCUCAAUAUUGCAGUGCACAGGAUGAGAGAUUGAAUGGCUGGAGGGAACCAGAGGUUAUCUACUUGAGACAGAUGCUAUUUUAAUGCAUGACCAGUGACAGGUCAAGCAUUAAAAUUGCCUCUAUUCACCAACCUUAAGCACAAAAAGCCAAAAAGUGCCUGAGUGGCACGGCCGCGGUGUGGUUAGCAAAACACUUUACAGUACAAGCAAGCCGGGUUCAUUUCCUCUAAGGAGUUUGUACGUCCUUCCCGUGACUGCAUGGGUUUCCUCAGGGUGCUCCAGUUUCCUCCCACAUUCCUAAGACCUUGGUAACUUAGUUGGUUAUUGUAAAUUGUCAAUGAUGUCAGUGAUUAGGCUAGGAUUGAAUUAGGGGAUUACUGGGCCACAAGGCUCGAAGGGCCAGAUGGGCCCAAUCCAACUGUGUUUUUUUUAAUAGAAAAUGUAGAAACACCGAAAUGUAGAACACUGAUUUCACAGUACAGGCCUUUCAGCCCCAAUGUUGUGCCUACCUUUUAAUCAGCUCCAAGAUCACUCGAACUGUUCCCUUCCUAUGCAGUCCAUAAGCCUCCACUUUUUUCUUUCAUCCAUGUGCCUAUCCAAGAGUUUCUUAACAGUCCCAGGUAUAUCAGCCUCUACCACCACCUUCAGCAAUGGAUGCCAGGCACGUACCACCCUAUGUGAAAAAAAACUACCUCUGACAUCUCCCCAGGCAGCAUUGUAGCUUUACAAAACAGACAACCUGGGUUCAAUUCCUGCCACUUUUUAUAAGUUUGUAUGUUCUCCCUAUGACCUCGGGGGUUUCCUUCGGGUGCUCCAGUUUCCUCCCACAGUCUAAAGAUGUACCGGUUGGUAGGUUCAUUGGCCAUUGUAAAUUGUCCUAUGAUUAGGCUAGGAUUAAACAUUGGGGGAUUGCUGGGUGGCGUGGUUUGGAGGGAUGGAAGGGCCUAUUCCAUGCUGUAUAUCAAUAAAUAAAUAUUUCUUCCCCAAUGUCAGCUUGCAGAGAAGACCUGAUGGGCCAAAUAGCCUAAUUCUUCUCCUAUAUCAUAUAGUUUAGAUCUUCCUCCAUGUACCUUAAAAAGAUGUCCUCUACUACUAGCCUUUGUUGCCCUGGUAAAAGCUGCUCAUGGUCCUCCAGAUCUACGCUUCAUCUUAUCACCUCUCCACUCCAGAGAGAAAAAGCCUAGCUCUCGCAACCUUUCCUCAUAAGACAUGUUCCCUAAUCCAGGUUUCAUCCUGGUAAACCUCCUCUGCACCCUCUCUAAAGCUUCCACAUCCUUCCUGUAAUGAGGCAACCAGAACUGAACACAAUAUUCCAAGUGUAAUAUAACAAUUUUUUUAGAAUAGCAACAUAAAUGACAAUACGUGAUAAUAUGAUGUAUUGCAUCUCUCAGAAGAGACUCAAAGUGCAUAUUUUGUGCAUUGUCUAAUAUUUCUGUCAGCAGGCCUGGCCGCCAUCUUG